AUCCUUUCGUGAGUGGUUUUCAUUUGAUUUGAUCCAAGACCAAUCCUGUAUAAUAACAACGAGAAGUUGAUACAAACAAUAGAAUGAUCAAGUAUUGGAUAGCUACUCCAUCAUAGGCAUUUUCAGUCUUUUUCCAUUCACGCUGUAACCACCAAUCAUAUCUGUGAUCGAUUCUAAAAUCUUCAAGAAGAUGCAGCUACAAGAUGGUUCUGGUAUAAAGUCAUUAAUAACCUCUCACAAGUUCUGAUUUCCUCCGUUGCCGGAAUGAUUAUGGACAAGUCAUGGUGGGAGACCAGAGCAUCGUUCCCCACAAAAAAGAUCACUUUGGCCGUGUUGUAAAGCUUGAGAAGUUCUCUCUCUAUGUUGAGGCUCUCACACGCAAAGCACCGAAGAGAGCGUCGGAAACGAACAAGACGUCGACAUUGUGGACGUUGGCGUCUCUAAGUUCCAUUCCCCUAAUUAUACUACAUCGUCGUUCGCCUCCGAUCACAACCAUCGCCGGAGCUUCAUGCCGGCAAAACCUCUGCCAUUCAAGAUAACGGAUGAGAUGAUCGGCAUGACCGUUCCGAGAAAGGCUCGUUGAGCAUCUGCAAAAAGGUUUCACGAAAGUUGGAUUUCCGCAAGCAGCGGUGGGGAGGAGCUGAAUUUUCGGCAACGAUCGAAUUCCCCCGGAGGACAGAGUGUUGAACCGGCCUCACCUUCUUCUUCGAAUGUUUCUCUGAGGAAGAAGAUGAAAGAGAUUAAACCUGUUUCUAAGACAUCAAAAUCGUCUUCGUCAGACCUCGAGAUUGAGAUAGCUGAGCUUCUGUAUGGUUUGAAGACUUCGAAGAGCCACGAGUCUUCUAAAAAGUUUGAAGCAAGCGUCAGUCCCUCUGAUUUGACUUUUUUUCAUUGGCAUUUUUAUCACAGAGAAGAAGAAAAUGGAAGACAACGACAAUUCUUCCACCCUUGUUCCAAAUAAUUCAACUAAAGAGUUAAGCAGGAUUCAGAUUGAGCAACAUGCUGAUGUGGAUUAUCAUGUUUGUCCAUCAUUAGAGGCACCAAAAGAGGACAUUGGGGAAGACAGAAUGAAUUCAAGUGCUGGGUUUGGGGAUGCUUCAGCAGAUGGAAGAUCGGUUUCUCCUACUAAGGAAUCGCCAUCAUGCUCUAUGUUGGAUGCUGAGAAACCAUAUUCAUCUUCAAACAGAGUGAUGUCUGCUUUUCCAGAGGCCAACACCCAACGAGUAGGCAAGUUUGAGACAGAUCUGAUGGCUCCUCCUCCUAUGGGGCUGUCCCCAGAAGUGGAUGACUUGUCAAUGGGUGAUUUCAUAUCAGAAACUUAAGCUUUGGCACCGGAUGUGGAAAUGAAGAAGGAAAAUAGUGCUUAGGUGGAAAGACCAGUUAAGAAGGAGAAAAUUCCAGAAGAAAUUGAAGAGGCAAAAAUUGUAACAUUUAAGGAGAAGUUUGAUGUGCUAAAACAUGAUUUGGAGAAGCAAAACAAUGCCAAUGACAUAAAGACAAACAAUAAAUUGGAAGAGCAGGAUGGGAAUAGGGAACUAGCUACUAUAUUAUCAAAUCCCAAAGAAUAGAUAACUGGUGCACUGUCUGGCAUGCUGGACCUCAUAUUGUUCUUUGUUGUUAACUUCAUUUGUCAUUUCAAAGAAGCAUUUCCCUUAGAAAAAAAGGUACAAAUAGAAGCAUGCUUUUGCAGUCCUUCUAUUUCUUCUAUUCAAUGAAGCCAAUGAUGUGAAAAUGAAGAACUUUUGACUGCCAUAGGUGGUCCUUCUAUCAAAUACUAGCCUCAUUUAUAGAAUAUAAGUUAACUUUCCUAGAGACUAUGUUACUUACACACUAAUUUGACUUAUAUAUUAAAAUACUUGGAGUAUGUAUUUUAAUAUCAGGGCAUAUAAUAUAUUUUUUAUAUGAGCAAGCAGAUUUCUUAGCAGGACAUAUAAUGUAUUUUAAUCACGUAAUUCUUUGUAUUCUAUUUUUAGGUUGAUUUUAUUUUUAUUUUUUAUGAGAAUGAUAAGUUUAAUAUCUGAAGAAGUUAAACUUGAAAGCUGCAUUUGCUUCUUUUUUUUACUUCGAUGUCUAUGCUCUUAAAAUGUGUUGUUUGCUUAUAAUUUUCAGCUUGUUAUUGCAGAUUACCUUUUGUCUUCUCUUUUCUCUUGUGAU
Long non-coding RNA from Glycine soja, 2154 nucleotides. RefSeq lists it as uncharacterized. The record is from RefSeq and is a predicted model, not a curated record. NCBI's taxonomy places the organism in Eukaryota, Viridiplantae, Streptophyta, Magnoliopsida, Fabales, Fabaceae. The transcript has 9 exons.